UACGUAGGAUGCAAGCGUUGUCCGGAAUUAUUGGGCGUAAAGAGCGCGCAGGCGGUCUGCCAAGUCAGAUGUGAAAGAGGCCGGCUUAACCGGCAAGGGUCAUUUGAAACUGACAGACUAGAGUGCAGCAGAGGAUAGCGGAAUUCCCGGUGUAGCGGUGAAAUGCGCAGAUAUCGGGAGGAACACCAAUGGCGAAGGCAGCUCGCUGGGACGGUACUGACGCUGAGGCGCGAAAGCGUGGGGAGCGAACAGG
RNAcentral lists this ribosomal RNA (253 nucleotides) under uncultured bacterium. RNAcentral's name for it is "partial 16S ribosomal RNA". It matches the Rfam family "Bacterial small subunit ribosomal RNA", at positions 524 to 776 of the family's 1533-position model. The record is from RNAcentral.